AUUGAACGCUGGCGGCAUGCCUUACACAUGCAAGUCGAACGGGCUUUGGGGCUUGCUCCAAAGUUAGUGGCGAACGGGUGAGUAAUAUAUCGGAACGUACCCUAGAGUGGGGGAUAACUAGUCGAAAGACUGGCUAAUACCGCAUACGAUCUAAGGAUGAAAGUGGGGGACCGCAAGGCCUCAUGCUCAUGGAGCGGCCGAUAUCUGAUUAGCUAGUUGGUGGGGUAAAAGCCUACCAAGGCGACGAUCAGUAGCUGGUCUGAGAGGACGAUCAGCCACACUGGGACUGAGACACGGCCCAGACUCCUACGGGAGGCAGCAGUGGGGAAUUUUGGACAAUGGGGGAAACCCUGAUCCAGCAAUGCCGCGUGAGUGAAGAAGGCCUUCGGGUUGUAAAGCUCUUUUGUCAGGGAAGAAACGGUGGGGGCUAAUAUCCCCUGCUAAUGACGGUACCUGAAGAAUAAGCACCGGCUAACUACGUGCCAGCAGCCGCGGUAA
This 498-nucleotide ribosomal RNA is filed under the name uncultured bacterium. Its description in RNAcentral is "partial 16S ribosomal RNA". It matches the Rfam family "Bacterial small subunit ribosomal RNA", at positions 30 to 523 of the family's 1533-position model. The record is from RNAcentral.